RNAcentral lists this unclassified non-coding RNA (229 nucleotides) under fungal sp. RNAcentral's name for it is "partial internal transcribed spacer region". The stretch from base 1 to 46 matches the Rfam family "Eukaryotic small subunit ribosomal RNA", at positions 1786 to 1831 of the family's 1831-position model. The record is from RNAcentral. Lineage: Eukaryota; Fungi.
AAGUCGUAACAAGGUUUCCGUAGGUGAACCUGCGGAAGGAUCAUUCAAGUACACCUGGGUUGGCGUAAGCCUUCCCAUUUAAUGUGAAGACCCGCGACUUCUUCCCGGCAUUCCGGGGGCCUAGCCCUUCGACUGGCCGGGGUUUUUAAUGAAGAAAGCAUGGUAUCUCAAAAGCAACAAAUACAACUUUUAGCGAUGGAUCUCUUGGCUCCCACACCGAUGAAGAACG